GGACACUGAUGCGCAGGAGAACCCCUAGCUGUCAAUCAAGCAGGCGCGGUGAACGGAUUAUGACGCUCAAGCGUUCCAAAUGACGCAACAAUACAGCUCCAGACCAGAGAAAGUUAAUGCCGAGGAUAUUAUUCGGUUCAACACUAAAACUGAGGUUUGACACGUGUGAUUUGAGGCUAGAGCUUGAGGACUCAACUCUGAAGACUGUUUCUGAAUUCACUGACCUGAAAUAAAACUUGUAGACCUUUCCUGCAGUCUCUGAGGAGAUGGACACCUCUUCUUCUUCUGGACGAUCUCCGUCUCCUACUGGGACUGUCUUCUUACCCCCUCCUAUCAUGUGGAACAGUCUGUAAGUCAUUCAUCACAUAACCUAGCUCUGGUCCAGGGCAUUAUGUGCGGCUUGCUGAAGGAAGGCUCAGUGUCUGCAAGCUGUACGUAACGCCCUGGACCAGAGUGACACAUUACCCACCUCUGGCCAUCAUGGACAGUCAACUCAUCACAUUCACGUACUGUAAGUCACAGUUGUGUGAUUUGUGUUAUUAAAGACAGUUAAAUUGAGCAGAAGUUGAAUUAUUAUUUUAAUAUUGUAGUAAAUUGUCUGAGUUCACUUCCUAAAUAAUGUGUUGACAUUCCUUUGCUC
This is a long non-coding RNA of Oncorhynchus mykiss (rainbow trout), 640 nucleotides long. The record is from Ensembl. NCBI's taxonomy places the organism in Eukaryota, Metazoa, Chordata, Actinopteri, Salmoniformes, Salmonidae.